Molecule: ribosomal RNA, 954 nt
Filed under: uncultured bacterium
Lineage: Bacteria
Description: bacterial SSU rRNA
Rfam family: Bacterial small subunit ribosomal RNA
Source: RNAcentral
UGGGGGGUUGUUCGGAGUUCUGGGCGUAAGGGCAUGCAGGCGGUUCUGCGCGUUUCGAGUGACAGCGGGUGGCUUAACUACCCGAGGGUUCGAAAGACGGCAGGACUCGAGGGCCAGAGAGGGACACGGAAUUCCGGGUGGAGUGGUGAAAUGCGUAGAGAUCCGGAGGAACACCGAAGGCGAAGGCAGUGUCCUGGCUGGCGCCUGACGCUGAGAUGCGAAAGCUAGGGGAGCGAACGGGAUUAGAUACCCCGGUAGUCCUAGCCGUAAACAAUGACCACCAGGUGUGCGGAGUAUCGACCCUCUGCGUGCCGGAGGAAACCCACUAAGUGGUCCGCCUGGGGAGUACGGUCGCAAGAUUAAAACUCAAAGGAAUUGACGGGGACCCGCACAAGCAGCGGAGCGUGUGGUUUAAUUCGAUGCGACGCGAAGAACCUUACCAGGGCUUGACAUGCCUGUGCACCUCCUGGAGACAGGAGUCCCUUCGGGGCGCAGGCACAGGUGCUGCAUGGCUGUCGUCAGCUCGUGCCGUGAGGUGUUGGGUUAAGUCCCGCAACGAGCGCAACCCCUGUGGUCGGUUGAAGCUGUCCGACAAGACUGCCACGCUUCAACGAGGAGGAAGGUGGGGAUGACGUCAAGUCAGCACGGCCCUUACGUCCUGGGCGACACACACGCUACAAUGGCCGAGACAACGGGUCGCCAACCCGCGAGGGGGGGCCAAUCCCAACAAACUCGGUCUCAGUUCGGAUGGCAGGCUGCAACCCGCCUGCCUGAAGCCGGAGUUGCUAGUAACCGUGGGUCAGCACACCACGGUGAAUACGUUCCCGGGUCUUGUACACACCGCCCGUCACACCACGAAAGUCGGCAACACCUGAAGCCGCUGGGCUAACCCGUAGGGGAGGCAGGCGUCGAGGGUGGGGUCGGUGAUUGGGGUGAAGUCGUAACAAGGUAACC